This 248-nucleotide non-coding RNA is filed under the name Brevibacillus panacihumi. RNAcentral's name for it is "T-box sequence". It matches the Rfam family "T-box leader". From Rfam's summary of the family: Uncharged tRNA acts as the effector for transcription antitermination of genes in the T-box leader family. T-boxes are found upstream of many aminoacyl-tRNA synthetase genes and some amino acid biosynthetic genes usually in Gram-positive bacteria. Lineage: Bacteria; Bacillati; Bacillota; Bacilli; Caryophanales; Paenibacillaceae. The record is from RNAcentral.
AUGGUCGCUAUGACGGGGAAAAGUAGAACUGCCCUUCAGGUCCAGAGAGCGAAAUCCACUGGCUGAGAGAUUUCGUCCUUGAAUCAGUUUGAACCCACCCUUGAGCUUCCAGGGAUGACCUGGACAGGUUUCUUUCACCUGUUAUCCAAGAAAGAGAGCCGGACGCUACCAGCCUGAAGCAUCGCUUCUCGCUGCAAACGUCAAGUAAGGUGGUACCGCGGAGGUCUUCAAGCCCUUUCGUCCUUAUU